UGCUGCUACUCUUACGCCUUGUUCCCGAGUUCUACUUGAGGAGGGAAAUGGAAGGAUACAUAAAGAAACUGAGGUGUGUCGAAGGAAAAUCAUGUUUUUAAGUUUCAUUAAUGGAAGGAAAGUGAGGAGAGGGAAAGGAUUUUUGAGUCAUAUUUUCCUUUCAAAUUUUCCUCCCAAAUUAGAUGGAUUUGGGAAAAAAGUAAGGGGAAGGAAAAUUUGAAGUUUUAUUUUCUUUUUCUUCCUAACUCGGGAAUACAAAAACUUAAAAUUUUCUUUUCAUUUCUGUUAAUUUCCUUCGAACUUGGGAAGACAGAAUAAUGAAUAUUUUCCUUGCCUUUAAAAAAAAAAAAAAAAAAAAAACUCGAGAACAAGGCGUAAUCUCGGUUCUUCAAUUUUCCCCCUCCGGUAAACAUCAUCACCACCACCAGCAGUCACCAUCCUCUCUCUCUCUCUCUCUCUCUCUCUCUCUCUCUCUCUCCAGAACGCUUCGAACUGAAAAAACCCUCACCGGAAGUGCUCUUUGUUUCUUCUUUGGCGAUGGCAACCGAUCUGUAAAGGAGGGUUUUCUUCGAGCUAGGGUUUGUUGAGGAAGAUGACGAAGGACCUCCCUUCUCGUCGGGCCUCCCUUUCACAUAUCGGAGGUAUCCGAUCUCAACACAUCCAAGGAUUUUCAUUACCACUUGCGUCAACGAUCGAAUCGGAGGAGAAGGCGAAGGGCGGCGAGUGGCGAUAGGGUUUUUGUCAGUGAUUUUUUCCUUCCAGAUCUUGAAACCAACAAGGAACUUCGAAUCUAUAAUGUGAUCUCUUUCGGUCGUAGCUCAACAUCUUUGUCGGAGGAGCGAGGGUUUUAGACGGUGGUUUCAAAGUUGGAUUAUUUGUUGUUUGCAGAUGACCGACAACACAAAACCAUGUCUCUUCGGAUAUCGAUUUGUCUUCCUGAUUGAAGGUUGGUGGUGACGGAGAAUAUGGGGGCUAAAUAUGAAAACCCUAAUUAGAUUAUUCAUGGGAUUUAAACUGUGGUGGUGGUGACUUUUUACAUGUGUAUGUGGUAUAGACAGGCGAUGGUGGUGACAAUUAAAGGAGGCAGCGAAAUGGGUGACACUAAUGGCGUUCAGAUCAGAGGUGUUCUGAUCGGUUAUGGUGGGUUCUCAUAAUCAUUCAUGAGGUGGUGAAGAUUACGGGUGUCAGAAAAUCGAUGUUGGUGGUGUUGAACUGGUGGUAGGUGAUGCAGGUGGUGGUCCGAAAAAUUAGGCUUGAAUUCAUCAAAAUUUUUAUACUCUUUUAUUCUAAGCUCGUGGGGAUGUUAGACGGGUGGUGGUGAUGGUGGUCCAAUGGUAGUUUGGUGGUGUUCCAAUGGUGAUACGGUGACUGCUCCGGGGGUGUUCCUAGAUCUCCGACGACUUGCUCAGUUUCAGUUUCAGGUUUGCAUCAUGGAUCAAUUAAAGGUUCAAGUUCAAUUCAUUAUGGUGAUUACAGUAAUACGCUUCACUGUAGUCGGAUAAGAAAGUUGUGGGGGAGGUGGAGGUGGAGCAGGAGCAGACACAGUCAAUGUGUGAGAUUUUCCGGUGACUGAACACAAUGAGGGUAUGGUGGUGUAGGCUCUUGAAUUAUACCGAUAUAUAUAUAUAUAUAUAUAUAUAUAUAUAUAUAUAUAUAUAUAUAUAUAUACACUAUAUAUAUAUACUAGUUUAGUUUAUAACCACGGUUAUACAAUUAAUUAAACUUUAAUAGUUAAAAUUUAAAAUUAUUAAUAAUUUAUUUUAAACAAAUUAUUAAUUAAGAGGUAUUUUUAGUUAUAUAAAAUUAUAAUCAUUGAUUUAAAUAAAUAUAUAAAAUUAUACCACUUUGUAAUUUGUAUUAAUUUUAUUUUAAUUUUUAUACUAAUGUUGUUAAUUUAAUGUAAUUAUAAUGAGAAAUUUAAAAUUUGAAAUUUGAAAUGGAGAAUUAAUAUGUUGACAAAUGGUAUGUAUUAAUUAUAAGACAUAAUAAGUUGAAACAUGACAAAAGAAAAAUAAAAUUUGCAUUAAUUAUUAGGAUUAAUAUGGUGACACAUGUCAAAAGGAGAUUAAAAACUACUCUUUUAUUAGAAUAUAUAUAUAUAUAUAUAUAUAUAUAUAUAUAUAAUAGUUCUUCAACGUUUAAUUAAUAUGUUUUAUUUAACUGGUGAUUUAAAAUAGAUAAAAGAAGACAGUAAGGGUAGAUAAGUCUUUUUAGAACGAACAGGGACCAAACGUGCAAUAAAAAUAUAAAUUAAGGACUAUCCGAGUUAAAAAAAAAAAACUUUUUAGGAACCAAACACGCAGAUUAUCCUAAACCACAUGGACCAUUCAUGUAAUUUACCUUAUAUAUAUAUAUAACUAACAUCAUUUCCCAUUUAUUAAUUGCAUUUCAUACGACUUUCUUUGUCGUCCUGACAAUGUUGAUGGAUCAAUUUCUAAUAAUUUCCUUGUUACUUUACUUUUUUCCGCCCAUCUUUUUUCAUAUUGUGGUUUUUUAAACUUAUGUAUUCUUUCAUUGUGUUCAUUGUUUCCAUCUCAAUAUUAAUUUGGGUUUACAUUGUAUCUUUUAUACUUUCAAGUUUCAAGAGAGGUGCUUCACAUAGGUUUUUGCAUCCCUUUACCUUUAGAGGAUUUUCUUCCGAUUAGACAAAUAUUUGAUAUUGGCUCAUUAAUUGAUAUGUUUCUAUUUGAAGACGAUGAUGUAUAUUCACCGGAUAUACUAUUCUUAGUCCUAUUUGGUUCAAUACCUUCAAUUUCGUUGGAAUCUCUUUGUCUUUCUUGUAUACUAGUACACCACUUCUCUUCAUCACAUAAUGUCAUCCAAGCAUAUAAAAAAAUUAAUCGUAUGGUGAAAUAUAUAUUGCUAGAGACAUUUUUUUAUUCUUCAUUUAACCCACUUUCAUGCCUAUAUUGGAAUUGUUCAUAACACACAAUAAAUUUAGAAACAACAUGAUUCAGUCUGCUCCAA
Long non-coding RNA from Lactuca sativa (garden lettuce), 2967 nucleotides. RefSeq lists it as uncharacterized. The record is from RefSeq and is a predicted model, not a curated record. NCBI's taxonomy places the organism in Eukaryota, Viridiplantae, Streptophyta, Magnoliopsida, Asterales, Asteraceae.